Molecule: ribosomal RNA, 433 nt
Filed under: uncultured bacterium
Lineage: Bacteria
Description: partial 16S ribosomal RNA
Rfam family: Bacterial small subunit ribosomal RNA
Source: RNAcentral
AACGAACGCUGGCGGCAUGCCUAACACAUGCAAGUCGAACGAGACCUUCGGGUCUGGUGGCGCACGGGUGCGUAACGCGUGGGAACCUGCCCUUAGGUUCGGAAUAACUCCCCGAAAGGGGUGCUAAUACCGGAUAAUAUCUUCGGACCAAAGAUUUAUCGCCUUUGGAUGGGCCCGCGUUGGAUUAGCUAGUUGGUAGGGUAAAAGCCUACCAAGGCGACGAUCCAUAGCUGGUCUGAGAGGAUGAUCAGCCACACUGGGACUGAGACACGGCCCAGACUCCUACGGGAGGCAGCAGUGGGGAAUAUUGGACAAUGGGCGAAAGCCUGAUCCAGCAAUGCCGCGUGAGUGAUGAAGGCCUUAGGGUUGUAAAGCUCUUUUACCCGGGAUGAUAAUGACAGUACCGGGAGAAUAAGCUCCGGCUAACUCCGUG